GUAGUAACAACCAUUUGAGUCUGGGAUUUCUGAAUGGGGAAACCCACGUGCAUAAGCACGUAUCCUUACCUGAAUACAUAGGGUAAGGAGGCGAACCGGGGGAACUGAAACAUCUAAGUACCCCGAGGAAAAGAAAUCAACCGAGAUUCCGAAAGUAGCGGCGAGCGAAAUUGGACUAGCCCUUAAGCUUUACACGCGUUAGACGAACGGUCUGGAAAGUCCGACGAUACAGGGUGAUAGUCCCGUAGUUGACGACGUGUGUUCAGUGAAAUCGAGUAGGGCGGGACACGUGAUAUCCUGUCUGAAUAUGGGGGGACCAUCCUCCAAGGCUAAAUACUACUGACUGACCGAUAGUGAACCAGUACCGUGAGGGAAAGGCGAAAAGAACCCCUGUGAGGGGAGUGAAAUAGAACCUGAAACCGUGUACGU
This 429-nucleotide ribosomal RNA is filed under the name Vibrio parahaemolyticus. RNAcentral describes it as "partial 23S ribosomal RNA". It matches the Rfam family "Bacterial large subunit ribosomal RNA", at positions 86 to 563 of the family's 2925-position model. The record is from RNAcentral. Lineage: Bacteria; Pseudomonadati; Pseudomonadota; Gammaproteobacteria; Vibrionales; Vibrionaceae.